UAAUUGGCAUUUAAUGUAGGUAUUUUAAUGUGGCGAUUGUGAAUAGUGGGGUUAGAUCCCUCUCCACAUUUGUUUAUUUCUUUUGUUUUUGUUCUCAUUAGUUACUUUAUUCAGUUUCUCUGCCUGUUUGCUUAAUCUGUUAUCUAAUUUCUUUUGGUUUUGAUAUUUUGUCUGGGCAGAGGUUAUUAUUUUUGUUAAUUGAAUUGUGUUAAUGUGACCCCACUAAUUUCUUUUGUUGUUGUUCCCUUUAGUUGCUGAGGUCCGGUGGUGGUGGAGGUGACCUGGUGGCGGGGUUCCCCCCCCCUUCUCGUGUGCUGUGCUUCCCUGGGUUCUAGGUCUCCUCACUGAGUGUGUGCUGUGUGUGACUGUCACGUGUGCCUGGGUGCUUAUAUUUUUGGUUGGGGAUUCUCCACCGACCUGUAGCCUACACACCCCGGUAAGCCUCAGCGUUAAUUUAGUUUCCCCCGUUCAUUUGUCCCUGUGUGAAUGGUAUUUUAGUGUUUUAACUUGUCUGUUAAAUAAAGAAUAUGUUUUUUUGAAUGGAAACGUGUCUUCUCGCCCCUGAGUAAAACGAACUUGUGUGCCUUAAGGGUGAACUUGAUUGAAAACUUACUUCCUGGGGCGAAAUUCCCCAGGUGGCGUUGUCGGUAACAAUAUAGUUAGUGUAUGAUUUGACCAAGACUGUCAUACUACAGCCGCUCCGUAACACCCCCUCGUCUCGCCACAAUCUGGCGUUGUCGGCAGGAUUUACUCAUUUAACGGCAGAGACACGUGUUCCUCCUUUGUUUUGCUUGGUGUUUGUAUAUAUGUAUCUUUUUCUUCUUUCCUGUGCCCUAACGAUGUUUUUCUUGUAGGCACAUUGAAGCAGUGGUGUUUACGGAGACAGAGCAGCAGUAGUUCCCCAGUCGUCCCUUGCGUAGGUUUUGUUGCUGAGGUCCGGUGGUGGUGGAGGUGACCUGGUGGCGGGGUUCCCCCCCCUUCUCGUGUGCUGUGCUUCCCUGGGUUCUAGGUCUCCUCACUGAGUGUGUGCUGUGUGUGACUGUCACGUGUGCCUGGGUGCUUAUAUUUUUGGUUGGGGAUUCUCCACCGACCUGUAGCCUACACACCCCGGUAAGCCUCAGCGUUAAUUUAGUUUCCCCCGUUCAUUUGUCCCUGUGUGAAUGGUAUUUUAGUGUUUUAACUUGUCUGUUAAAUAAAGAAUAUGUUUUUUUGAAUGGAAA
Molecule: long non-coding RNA, 1220 nt
Organism: Acanthochromis polyacanthus (spiny chromis)
Lineage: Eukaryota; Metazoa; Chordata; Actinopteri; Pomacentridae
Exons: 2
Source: RefSeq, a predicted model, not a curated record